AAGCAUAUCAAUAAGCGGAGGAAAAGAAACUAACAAGGAUUCCCCCUAGUAACUGCGAGUGAAGCGGGAAAAGCUCAAAUUUAAAAUCCUUCGGGAGUUGUAAUCUGUAGAAGUGUUUUCGGUCGUUGCCUCGGAUAAGUCUCUUGGAACAGAGUGUCAUAGAGGGUGAGAAUCCCGUCCUUGCCGAGCUCCCAGCGUCCUUGUGAUACACUUUCAACGAGUCGAGUUGUUUGGGAAUGCAGCUCAAAAUGGGUGGUAAACUCCAUCUAAAGCUAAAUAUUGGCGAGAGACCGAUAGCGAACAAGUACCGUGAGGGAAAGAUGAAAAGAACUUUGGAAAGAGAGUUAAACAGUACGUGAAAUUGUUAAAAGGGAAACGCUUGGAGUCAGUCGCGUUGCAGGGACUCAGCCUCACGGUGUACUUUUCUGCAACGGGUCAACAUCAGUUUCGGCCGCGGGAUAAGAGUCGGGGGAAUGUGGCUCUCUCGGGAGUGUUAUAGCCUCUGGCUGUACACCGCGGCGGGGACUGAGGUCUGCUUAAAGGAUGUUGACGAAAUGGCUCUAAGCGACCCGUCUUGAAACACGGACCAAGGAGUCUAACAUGUCUGCGAGUAUUUGGGUGCGAAACCCAUGUGCGCAAUGAAAGUAAUGCAGGUGGGAGGCCUCGGCCGCACCAUCGACCGAUCCGGAUCUCUUGGGAUGGAUUUGAGUAGGAGCAUAUAUGUUGGGACCCGAAAGAUGGUGAACUAUGCCUGAAUAGGGCGAAGCCAGAGGAAACUCUGGUGGAGGCUCGUAGCGAUUCUGACGUGCAAAUCGAUCGUCGAAUUUGGGGUAUAGGGGCGAAAGACUAAUCGAACCAUCUAGUAGCUGGUUCCUGCC
RNAcentral lists this ribosomal RNA (878 nucleotides) under Guepiniopsis buccina. RNAcentral describes it as "LSU rRNA". It matches the Rfam family "Eukaryotic large subunit ribosomal RNA", at positions 36 to 962 of the family's 3401-position model. The record is from RNAcentral. Lineage: Eukaryota; Fungi; Basidiomycota; Dacrymycetes; Dacrymycetales; Dacrymycetaceae.